Long non-coding RNA from Electrophorus electricus (electric eel), 1317 nucleotides. RefSeq lists it as uncharacterized. The record is from RefSeq and is a predicted model, not a curated record. NCBI's taxonomy places the organism in Eukaryota, Metazoa, Chordata, Actinopteri, Gymnotiformes, Gymnotidae.
AUAAAAAUUUAUUUCACACGUAGCACUGGUAGCAUUGCAUACAUUAGGUAGAUAUAAAUAUGCAAAAAAAUAAAUAUGCACUUUUGCAUGGUUGUUGCCAUGGAAUUUUGUGGUUCUUGUGCCAUGAAAUAAUCACAAUGUAACCUGUGACUUCUGUACUGCACUAGGCAAAAAUCAUUUAUUUCUACAUUUUAUCUAGGUUUGAGGUAAAUCCAGUUCAUGGGAGAUUAGUUUGUGUUGCACUUCCUCUUGCUAUGACAGAUGUAGUUACUGACAGGAGCCUGCUAAGAUACCAGCUCCCCCUGUGUUUCUACAAGAAAGGUUAUCUCUUUUCUUGAGCUUGGCAAGAUUCAUAACAGGAACACUGACGCUGAAACACUUAAGUGGCAAUGCCAAAUGCGAUUUCAGUCUCCUGGGAGCGCGGAGGCGUCGGGGAUGCCUGAAGACCCAGGGAGAGAGGAUGCAGCACAGCUCCUGGUGGUGGGACGGGCGUGGGGCGUGUGCCAGAGUGAGAGGGAAGUCCACCGGGGCGUUCAUCGAGAGGCAGCAAUGUUUGAUAAAGCUUUUGGCGGGAUUUGCAGUGGUGCUUACCAUUCAGGAACGCGGGCAGUGCCUGAAUUCUGAAAUUACCUUGACCUCCUGUUGUGAGCAUGCUGUGGCCCCAGAGCUCUCUAGAGACACUCUGCAGUGACAUGGAAGCUAAGGGAGACUGGCUCUGCUCAGAGAUGAAACAGCGAAGCCCCAGAGUACAGCUGGAAGCAGAAGGGUGAGAGAGCAUGAGAAAAUGAGAGAAAGAGGAAGGACAGGAGUCCAAGAAGUCGUCAGGUGACUCCAAUUGAGACCAAACUGUUUUCACAGCAGUGGAGCAUAAUGGAAUUGACUGUAAUCAUGCAGCAAGAGCUGUUCCUCCUGCCCUUCCUAAUGAGGCCCGUGCACUUGCCUUUCAUCUUCCUUUUUCUUCCUUCCAUUUAUUUAUUUAUUUAUAUUUUUAAUAUCUUCUUCCCUGUUCUGUAUUCUUCCAGCCCCCCUUCCCUCUGGGCACUUGGACUGCGGGUGUAAGUUAAUUGGAUUAAUGCACCGGUUGGACUGCGUAUGAUGCUGAGUCUGAGACACGGGUAUCAAUCUCCACACAAUCAAUUUACAGCUGUCGUCCUGCCAGCUGUGGGUAGCAGAUGGGCUCUUACACCACUGCUCCGUCCGACUGUUUACAGCACCACAGUUGGAACCUAGAGCCCUGCCUUGCCCUGUUCUUACAGUCUAGAAUCCUGCCUUAGAUGUGUCUGUACUGAUUAAAGCCUUGUUCCUGAAUGUUCCUAA